GAUGAACGCUGGCGGCGUGCCUAAUACAUGCAAGUCGAGCGAACGGACGAGGAGCUUGCUUCGCUGAUGUUAGCGGAGGACGGGUGAGUAACACGUGGAUAACCUACCUAUAAGACUGGGAUAACUUCGGGAAACCGGAGCUAAUACCGGAUAAUCUUUUGAACCGCAUGGUUCAAAAGUGAAAGACGGUCUUGCUGUCACUUAUCGAGGGAUCCGCGCUGCAUUAGCUAGUUGGUAAGGUAACGGCUUACCAAGGCAACGAUGCAUAACCGACCUGAGAGGGUGAUCGGCCACACUGGAAGUGAGACACGGUCCAGACUCCUACGGGAGGCAGCAGUAGGGAAUCGGCCGCAAUGGGCGAAAGCAUGACGGAGCAACGGCGCGUGAGAGAUGAAGGUCUCCGGAUCGUAAAAAUGUGUUAUGAGUGAAGAACAUAUGUGGAAGUAACUGUGCACAGCGUGACGGUACCUAAUCAGAAAGCCACGGCUAACUACGUG
RNAcentral lists this ribosomal RNA (497 nucleotides) under uncultured bacterium. Its description in RNAcentral is "partial 16S ribosomal RNA". It matches the Rfam family "Bacterial small subunit ribosomal RNA", at positions 28 to 507 of the family's 1533-position model. The record is from RNAcentral.